Molecule: long non-coding RNA, 392 nt
Filed under: Malus domestica (apple)
Lineage: Eukaryota; Viridiplantae; Streptophyta; Magnoliopsida; Rosales; Rosaceae
Description: long non-coding RNA (MDOM_LNC005294)
Source: RNAcentral
UUUCUGUCUUUGCUAGUUUGCGUGGCUUUUCGACGGUGAAGUAUCUGUGAGUGGAUCCCUUCUAAGAUGCAUGUUUUAAUAGUAGAAUCGCAUACAUGAAAAGCAUGAUUUAAUGAUUACGUUUUAUGAAACGUUUUAUAAGAUAUUAUGCUUACUUAGAAUAUUUUGGAAUAUCAUAUUUUCUAUCGAACCCAUGUUCUUUGUAGGAUAUUUGAUGGAUGACGAUAUACUAUUUAGAACAUGUUUUUACACACUUCUUUAUAGUAUAGAUGAUGGAUGACUUUAUACUAUAAAGAUGUUUUUGAGAUAUAUGUACCUAAGACUAUAUUCAAUGUUUUUGUGCGUAUCUAAUGGUCACUGUUAUGUGUGUUUGGCAACGAUAUUUAUAUUGU